RNAcentral lists this ribosomal RNA (253 nucleotides) under uncultured bacterium. RNAcentral's name for it is "partial 16S ribosomal RNA". It matches the Rfam family "Bacterial small subunit ribosomal RNA", at positions 524 to 776 of the family's 1533-position model. The record is from RNAcentral.
UACGGAGGGGGCUAGCGUUGUUCGGAAUUACUGGGCGUAAAGCGCACGUAGGCGGCUUUGUAAGUUAGAGGUGAAAGCCCGGGGCUCAACCCCGGAAUUGCCUUUAAGACUGCAUCGCUAGAAUUGUGGAGAGGUAAGUGGAAUUCCGAGUGUAGAGGUGAAAUUCGUAGAUAUUCGCAAGACCACCAGUGGCGAAGGCGGCUUGCCAGAAUGCGCUCGACGGUGAGGGAUGAAAGCUGGGGGAGCAAACCGG